GUUGAACGCUGGCGGCAGGCCUAACACAUGCAAGUCGAACGGUAGCACAGAGAGCUUGCUCUCGGGUGACGAGUGGCGGACGGGUGAGUAAUGUCUGGGAAACUGCCCGAUGGAGGGGGAUAACUACUGGAAACGGUAGCUAAUACCGCAUAACGUCGCAAGACCAAAGAGGGGGGACCUUCGGGCCUCUUGCCAUCGGAUGUGCCCAGAUGGGAUUAGCUUGUAGGCG
This 229-nucleotide ribosomal RNA is filed under the name uncultured bacterium. RNAcentral's name for it is "partial 16S ribosomal RNA". It matches the Rfam family "Bacterial small subunit ribosomal RNA", at positions 28 to 254 of the family's 1533-position model. The record is from RNAcentral.